CCUACGGGAGGCUGCAGUGGGGAAUAUUGCACAAUGGGGGAAACACUGAUGCAGCAACGCCGCGUGAGUGAAGAAGUAUUUCGGUAUGUAAAGCUCUAUCAGCAGGGGAGAAAAUGCCAGUACCUGACUACGAAGCCCCGGCUCACUACGUGCCAGCAUCCGCGGUACUCCGUAGGGGGCAAGCGUUAUCCGGAUUUACUGGGUGUAAUGGGAGCGUAGUCGGCUGCGCAGGUCAGAAGUGAAAGGCCGGGGCUCAACCGCGGGACUGCUGUUGAAACUGUGUAGCUAGAGUGCAGGAGAGGUAAGUGGAAGGCGUAGUGUAGCGGUGAAAUGCGUAGAUAUUAGGAGGAACACCGGGGGCGAAGGCGGCGUACUGGACUGUAACUGACGGUGAGGCACGAAAGCGUGGGGAGCAAACAGGAUUAGAUACCCCGGUAGUC
This 440-nucleotide ribosomal RNA is filed under the name uncultured bacterium. RNAcentral describes it as "partial 16S ribosomal RNA". It matches the Rfam family "Bacterial small subunit ribosomal RNA", at positions 338 to 795 of the family's 1533-position model. The record is from RNAcentral.